Molecule: ribosomal RNA, 405 nt
Filed under: uncultured bacterium
Lineage: Bacteria
Description: partial 16S ribosomal RNA
Rfam family: Bacterial small subunit ribosomal RNA
Source: RNAcentral
AUUGAACGCUAGCGGGAUGCUUUACACAUGCAAGUCGAACGAGUGGCGGACGGGUGAGUAAUAUAUCGGAACGUGCCCAGUAGCGGGGGAUAACUACUCGAAAAGUGGCUAAUACCGCAUACUAUUGGAGCGGCCGAUAUCGGAUUAGCUAGUUGGUGGGGUAAAGGCUCACCAAGGCAACGAUCCGUAGCUGGUUUGAGAGGACGACCAGCCACAAUGGGACUGAGACAAGGCCCAGAAUCCUACGGGAGGGAGCAGGGGGGAAAUUUGGACAAAGGGGGAAAACCCUAUCCAGCCAUCCCGCGGGGAUGAUGAAGGCCUUCGGGGUGGAAAAGAAUUUCAGGGGGGAGACGUUACCCGCAGAAGAAGCACCGGCUAACUCCGUGCCAGCAGCCGCGGUAAUUC